This 3215-nucleotide long non-coding RNA is filed under the name Podarcis lilfordi (Lilford's wall lizard). Lineage: Eukaryota; Metazoa; Chordata; Lepidosauria; Squamata; Lacertidae. The record is from RNAcentral.
AAAGCAGUUCGGCCCUCGUCAAGUUUAAACGGAGGAGGUGAAAUGCCCCGUCCGGCCGUGUUAAGGUGAAAGCGGCGCCGCCAUUUUGAAAGAGGGCGGGCGGAAGUUGCGGUACGUAAGAAGGUUCUAACGGAAUAAACACACUAUGAGGUAAUUCUAAUAUCGUGUCGUAAUAAGAUGUAUAUUAUAACACAUAUUAUAUAUAACACAUAUUAUAUAUAUAUAUAUAUAUAAUACACACACAGACACACAUAUAUAUAUAUAUAUAUUUGUGUGUGUGAAUGUCAUUUGUUUUUUCACCUCAGGGUUUUCUCCUCAGAAAUUGUUAGUUUUGCGACUGUUACUAUAUUCCAUACACAGAACUGUAUUCGGAGUAUAGUACGCAGUAUCGUACGUUAAUUGUACGCAACAGGAAGCGAUAAGGUCGAAAUGGCGGUUAGUUGGGGACGUCACUUCCGGUACCAUCUCGAGCGUGGCGUGUCCAUUCCCUCCCAAUACAAAACACACGGCGAGGGAGAGAAAGCGGCGCUCCUUGCGCGCAAGAGAGAAAAAGGCCAGAAACGCGGGCAAAUCAGCGUCGGCGUAGCUCCACCACGUCCCUCCCCUCCCUCCUGAUUGGGUCACUUGCUCUCCAGCAUUCGAAAAAGACAGGACUCUGUUUCCCCCAGAUUUAGCAGGAGGGUGAAUUUGGGAUACAGUAUAUGCACAUAUACCUUUUAAUGAGGGUGAAAGAGGAGAGCGCAAAAUAUGGUUUGAAGCUCAGCAUCAAAAAAGCUAAGAUCAUGGCCACUGGUCCCAUCACCUCCUGGCAGAUAGAAAGGGAAGAAAUGGAGGCAGUGAGGGAUUUUACUUUCUUGGGCUCCAUGAUCACUGCAGAUGGUGACAGCAGCCACAAAAUUAAAAGAUGCCUGCUUCUUGGGAGAAAGGCAAUGACAAACCUAGACAGCAUCUUAAAAAGCAGAGACAUCACCUUGCCAACAAAGGUCCGUAUAGUUAAAGCUAUGGUUUUCCCAGUAGUGGUGGAUGGAAGUGAGAGCUGGACCAUAAAGAAGGCUGAUCGCCAAAGAAUGGAUGCUUUUGAAUUCUGGUGCUGGAGGAGACUCUUGAGAGUCCCAUGGACUGCAAAAAGAUCCAACCUCUCCAUUCUGAAGGAAAUCAGCCCUGAGUGCUCACUGGAAGGACAAAUCCUGAAGCUGAGGCUACAAUACCUUGGCCACCUCAUGAGAAGAGAAGACUCCCUGGAAGAGACCCUGAUGUUGGGAAAGAUGGAGGGCACAAGGAGAAGGGGACGACAGAGGACGAGAUGGUGGGACAGUGUUCUCGAAGCUACCAGCAUGAGUUUGACCAAACUGCGGGAGGCAGUGGAAGACAGGAGUGCCUGGCGUGCUCUGGUCCAGGGGGUCACGAAGAGUCGGAUGCAACUAAACGACUAAACAACAACAAUACAUUUAAAGCACGAAUUUCCAUCCACCCCAAAUCUUGGCAAAUUUAGUUUAUCCCUUGCUGAGCUACAAUUCCCAGCACCCUUUACAAACUACAGUUCCCAAGAUAACUUUGAGGGAGCUAUGCAUAGCUGUCUACAUUUCCCUUUUUUAAAGGGAAAUUCCCUUAUUCCAAAUAGGAUUCCUCGCAAGAAAAGGGAAAAGUUGACAGCUAUGGAGCUAUGGGCUUUAAAAUGUUUGCCGUGUUGCACUCCCAUUGAAAAACAGCAAGAUUCUAGUCCUCAUGGUGAGUUUUGCCUUUUGUGCAGAAGGCUAGUCUCAAAACGCACUCCCACUUCCAUUUUCUUCUUCGCAUUUUUACCCCACCUUUCUCUCUAAGGAGCUCAUGGUGAUGUGCCCACUUCUCCCUAGCUCCUCCUUUCAUCCCAAAACCAGAGAGACAUCACCCAGAUUACACAGCUAACAAUCAAUAUAUUUCCCCCGUUUAGCACAAACACUUGGCUUGCGUGAGCAGCAUAACAUGAAGAGGGCACAGAAAAUGUACAGAAUGGGCAUAACAGUAGUUCCCCAAAGCCCAUCGUAAGUUGGGCUUUCACAAAUGGGACAUAUUUGGGCCUGAGGCAGAGAUGUCCAAACUUUUUUCAAAGAGGGCCAGAUUUGAUGAAGUGAAGGGCCGUGAGGGCCGGCCAAAUUUGUUGACCUUUUUUUACGAUUGAAGUUGCUGAGCUUUCUUUAUGAUUUUACCCCAAAGUUAUUGAGCUUUUUAGGAUUGAAGUUGUUGAGGGUUUGUUUUUUUUAGGAUUUUAUCCCAAGAAAUAAACUGCCACAGGGGUCGGAUUGAACCGACCGGCGGGCUGGAUUAGGCCCCUGAAACGGACUUUGGACAUGCCUGGCCUAAAGUGAGUCACACCUUCCUGUGCGGGGGGUGGGGUGGGGGUGGUCCUGAUUCUAGGGACAUACGACAGAUGGAAAAAUAGGAGUGAGGAUCUUCCAUAUGACAUAUUUACUAAGAAUUCAUCCUGGCUUCUUUGCAGGGAGACUAGACGACAUUGGCUAUUUAUAAAGGAUUCAUUCCGAUGUUUUUGCAGGGAGGUUAGAUGAUGUGUCGAAGCAGAUGUCAUCCCACAAUUUUGCAGUGUAUUUCCCAUCUCUUUCAAUUCCCUCAAAAGUUCGCUCUUUUAGGGAGGCGGGCUUGUUACUGCAGAGCUCACCAUCAUCCCCUAAUUGUGCAAUCUGGAUUUGAAAAUAUGUGAUUGAUUCCCGCCAACAAACAGUGACAGUCUGGAAACACACACACACAUUUUAUCCGCCGUAUCAGAAUGAUGCUUCCAGUUUAUCUUUCUGGGUGGUAGUAGCAAUGACAGAACUGAAUUACAUGAAGCUGAAGACGAAUUUAAGAGCAGCUAUGAGGCUGUCUCAGGGAGAGCGGUCGGGAGCAGAAGGCUCAUCCCAUCAGCUUUGCAGAAAGACGAGCUCCACUAGGCAGCCAUGAAUUGUUUACUUGCCAGUUGGCCUGAUUUUUGUUUUUCCUCCUCCCUCUGUGGCCUUUUACCCUUGUAUGUUGUAGUUAUGUUUUGUUUUUUGUUUUAAAAAGAUUAUAAGCCUGUGGGCACCGGGGACUCUUGUUUCAAUUGAUAGUGUGUAAACCACUCUGGGAGACUUUGGGGCUGAAAAUCCCAGUGGCAAAUGCCGUAAAUAAAUAAAUGAAUCGACAAACAAAUAUAUUUUCCCCAGCAGCAGAAAACCAGGUGCUUCUGGGAAGUCCACAAACAG